Acanthosepion pharaonis is the source of this 106-nucleotide non-coding RNA. Lineage: Eukaryota; Metazoa; Mollusca; Cephalopoda; Sepiida; Sepiidae. The record is from the annotation of a GenBank genome assembly.
AUCACAUCAUUUUGAAACAUCGGUUCCCAUACAACCACUGAAGUUAAGCAAUAUUGAGCCUGGUCAGUACCUUGAUGGGUGACCCCUUGGCUAUGCCAUGCGGUGU